UACACAUUUGUGAAGACUACACAGAAAACCUUUCGUGGGCUUGUGGAUGUCUGAUGUUUUGUGUA
Molecule: non-coding RNA, 65 nt
Organism: Xenopus laevis (African clawed frog)
Lineage: Eukaryota; Metazoa; Chordata; Amphibia; Anura; Pipidae
Source: Rfam